AUUGAACGCUGGCGGCAUGCCUUACACAUGCAAGUCGAACGGUAACAGGUCUUCGGAUGCUGACGAGUGGCGAACGGGUGAGUAAUACAUCGGAACGUGCCCGACCGUGGGGGAUAACGAAGCGAAAGCUUUGCUAAUACCGCAUAGGAUCUACGGAUGAAAGCAGGGGACCGCAAGGCCUUGCGCGAACGGAGCGGCCGAUGGCAGAUUAGGUAGUUGGUGGGAUAAAAGCUUACCAAGCCGACGAUCUGUAGCUGGUCUGAGAGGACGACCAGCCACACUGGGACUGAGACACGGCCCAGACUCCUACGGGAGGCAGCAGUGGGGAAUUUUGGACAAUGGGCGGAAGCCUGAUCCAGCCAUGCCGCGUGCAGGAUGAAGGCCUUCGGGUUGUAAACUGCUUUUGUACGGAACGAAAAGACUCUGGUUAAUACCUGGGGUCCAUGACGGUACCGUAAGAAUAAGCACCGGCUAACUACGUG
RNAcentral lists this ribosomal RNA (482 nucleotides) under uncultured bacterium. Its description in RNAcentral is "partial 16S ribosomal RNA". It matches the Rfam family "Bacterial small subunit ribosomal RNA", at positions 30 to 507 of the family's 1533-position model. The record is from RNAcentral.